This 488-nucleotide ribosomal RNA is filed under the name uncultured bacterium. RNAcentral describes it as "bacterial SSU rRNA". It matches the Rfam family "Bacterial small subunit ribosomal RNA", at positions 60 to 548 of the family's 1533-position model. The record is from RNAcentral.
AGUCGAACGAAGCGCUUAAAUGGAUUUCUUCGGAUUGAAGUUUUUGUGACUGAGUGGCGGACGGGUGAGUAACGCGUGGGUAACCUGCCUCAUACAGGGGGAUAACAGUUAGAAAUGACUGCUAAUACCGCAUAAGCGCACAGUGCUGCAUGGCACAGUGUGAAAAACUCCGGUGGUAUGAGAUGGACCCGCGUCUGAUUAGCUGGUUGGUGGGGUAACGGCCUACCAAGGCGACGAUCAGUAGCCGGCCUGAGAGGGUGAACGGCCACAUUGGGACUGAGACACGGCCCAAACUCCUACGGGAGGCAGCAGUGGGGAAUAUUGCACAAUGGGGGAAACCCUGAUGCAGCGACGCCGCGUGAGCGAAGAAGUAUUUCGGUAUGUAAAGCUCUAUCAGCAGGGAAGAAAAUGACGGUACCUGACUAAGAAGCACCGGCUAAAUACGUGCCAGCAGCCGCGGUAAUACGUAUGGUGCAAGCGUUAUCCGG